AGAACGAACGCUGGCGGCGGGGUUUAGGCAUGCAAGUCGAGCGAGAAAGCCGCAAGGCAAGUACAGCGGCGUAAGGGUGAGUAAUGGUUAGUCAACGUACCGAGCAGACGCGAAUAAUUUCCCGAAAGGGGCUGUAAUGCGCGAUGAGACCACGCCUUCCACGGGAGGAGCGGUCAAAGGUCGGGGAUCCUUCGGGACCUGGCGCUGUUUGAGCGGACUAACUCUGAUUAGCUAGUUGGCGGGUAACGGCCCACCAAGGCGAUGAUCAGUAGCCGGCCUGAGAGGGUGUCCGGCCACACUGGGACUGAGACACUGCCCAGACUCCUACGGGAGGCUGCAGUCGCGAAUCAUUCACAAUGGGCGCAAGCCUGAUGAUGCCACGCCGCGUGCGGGAUGAAGGCCCUCUGGGUUGUAAACCGCUGUCAAGGGAGAGGAAACGUCACGUGUUAACAGCGCGUGGCCUGACUGCUCCCUAAAGGAACGCCCCGGCAAAACC
This 496-nucleotide ribosomal RNA is filed under the name uncultured bacterium. RNAcentral's name for it is "SSU rRNA". It matches the Rfam family "Bacterial small subunit ribosomal RNA", at positions 26 to 503 of the family's 1533-position model. The record is from RNAcentral.